RNAcentral lists this ribosomal RNA (495 nucleotides) under fungal sp. E15002A. RNAcentral describes it as "eukaryotic LSU rRNA". The stretch from base 141 to 294 matches the Rfam family "5.8S ribosomal RNA". Lineage: Eukaryota; Fungi. The record is from RNAcentral.
CGCUACAGCCUGACUUUAUACCCACCCUUUGCCUAUGUGUACCCCUAUUGCUUCCCUCGGCGGGUUCGCCCGCCGACAGGAACCAACUAAACCCUUUGCAUUAUACAUUUAACACUUCCGAUACAAAACUAAAUUAUUACAACUUUUAACAAUGGAUCUCUUGGUUCUGGCAUCGAUGAAGAACGCAGCGAAAUGCGAUAAGUAGUGUGAAUUGCAGAAUUCAGUGAAUCAUCGAAUCUUUGAACGCACAUUGCGCCCCUCGGUAUUCCGUGGGGCAUGCCUGUUCGAGCGUCAUUUACACCCUCAAGCUCUGCUUGGUGUUGGGCGUCUGUCCCGCCUCCGUGCGCGGACUCGCCUCAAAGUCAUUGGCAGCGGUCUCGUCGGCUUCUCGCGCAGCACAUUUGCGCUUCUCGGAGCCCCGGCGGAUCAGCGUCCAGCAAGCAAUUUCAUGACUUGACCUCGGAUCAGGUAGGGAUACCCGCUGAACUUAAGCAU